This 301-nucleotide ribosomal RNA is filed under the name uncultured bacterium. Its description in RNAcentral is "partial 16S ribosomal RNA". It matches the Rfam family "Bacterial small subunit ribosomal RNA", at positions 509 to 808 of the family's 1533-position model. The record is from RNAcentral.
CAGUAGCCGCGGGAAUACGUAGGUCCCGAGCGUUGUCCGGAUUUAUUGGGCGUAAAGCGAGCGCAGGCGGUUAGAUAAGUCUGAAGUUAAAGGCUGUGGCUUAACCAUAGUACGCUUUGGAAACUGUUUAACUUGAGUGCAGAAGGGGAGAGUGGAAUUCCAUGUGUAGCGGUGAAAUGCGUAGAUAUAUGGAGGAACACCGGUGGCGAAAGCGGCUCUCUGGUCUGUAACUGACGCUGAGGCUCGAAAGCGUGGGGAGCGAACAGGAUUAGAUACCCCGGUAGUCCCUGUCUCUUAUACA